GUGCUCGUCUUGGCAGCAUGUGUACUGAAACUGGAAUGAUACAGAGAAGGUUAGCAUGGCCCCCGUGCAAGGAUGACAAGCACAUUCAAGAAGUAUUCCAUGUUUUU
This is a small nuclear RNA of Cynocephalus volans (Philippine flying lemur), 107 nucleotides long. The record is from RefSeq and is a predicted model, not a curated record. NCBI's taxonomy places the organism in Eukaryota, Metazoa, Chordata, Mammalia, Dermoptera, Cynocephalidae.